Molecule: ribosomal RNA, 510 nt
Filed under: uncultured bacterium
Lineage: Bacteria
Description: partial 16S ribosomal RNA
Rfam family: Bacterial small subunit ribosomal RNA
Source: RNAcentral
GACGAACGCUGGCGGCGUGCCUAACACAUGCAAGUCGAACGAAGAGCGAUGGAAGCUUGCUUCUAUCAAUCUUAGUGGCGAACGGGUGAGUAACGCGUAAUCAACCUGCCCUUCAGAGGGGGACAACAGUUGGAAACGACUGCUAAUACCGCAUACGAUCUAAUCUCGGCAUCGAGGAAAGAUGAAAGGUGGCCUCUAUUUAUAAGCUAUCACUGAAGGAGGGGAUUGCGUCUGAUUAGCUAGUUGGAGGGGUAACGGCCCACCAAGGCGAUGAUCAGUAGCCGGUCUGAGAGGAUGAACGGCCACAUUGGGACUGAGACACGGCCCAGACUCCUACGGGAGGCAGCAGUGGGGAAUCUUCCGCAAUGGACGAAAGUCUGACGGAGCAACGCCGCGUGGGUGAUGACGGCCUUCGGGUUGUAAAGCUCUGUUAAUCGGGACGAAAGGCCUUCUUGCGAACAGUUAGAAGGAUUGACGGUACCGGAAUAGAAAGCCACGGCUAACUACGUG